This 316-nucleotide ribosomal RNA is filed under the name uncultured bacterium. RNAcentral describes it as "bacterial SSU rRNA". It matches the Rfam family "Bacterial small subunit ribosomal RNA", at positions 28 to 334 of the family's 1533-position model. The record is from RNAcentral.
GAUGAACGCUGGCGGCGUGCUUAACACAUGCAAGUCGAACGAAGCACUUUGAAAAGUUUACUUUUUAGAGUGACUGAGUGGCGGACGGGUGAGUAACGCGUGGGUAACCUGCCUUACACAGGGGGAUAACAGUUAGAAAUGACUGCUAAUACCGCAUAAAACAGCAGUACCGCAUGGUACAACUGUCAAAGAUUUAUCGGUGUAAGAUGGACCCGCGUCUGAUUAGCUAGUUGGUGGGGUAACGGCCUACCAAGGCGACGAUCAGUAGCCGACCUGAGAGGGUGACCGGCCACAUUGGGACUGAGACACGGCCCAA